AUAUCAAUAAGCGGAGGAAAAGAAACCAACAGGGAUUGCCUCAGUAGCGGCGAGUGAAGCGGCAAAAGCUCAGAUUUGAAAUCCGGCGUGGUCCCCUCGCCCGAGUUGUAAUCUGGAGAGGAAGCCCCGGUGAGGCCGGCCGUCCAAGUUCCUUGGAACAGGACGUCUCAGAGGGUGAGAACCCCGUACCCGGCGCUGCUGAGCCGCGUGGGGCUCCUUCGGCGAGUCGAGUUGUUUGGGAAUGCAGCUCAAACUGGGUGGUAAAUUCCAUCUAAAGCUAAAUAUCGGCGGGAGACCGAUAGCGCACAAGUA
Molecule: ribosomal RNA, 312 nt
Filed under: uncultured fungus
Lineage: Eukaryota; Fungi
Description: partial large subunit ribosomal RNA
Rfam family: Eukaryotic large subunit ribosomal RNA
Source: RNAcentral